Molecule: ribosomal RNA, 120 nt
Organism: Saimiri boliviensis boliviensis (Bolivian squirrel monkey)
Lineage: Eukaryota; Metazoa; Chordata; Mammalia; Primates; Cebidae
Source: RefSeq, a predicted model, not a curated record
GUCUACGGCCAUGCCGCCCUGGACGCGCCCGAUCUCGUCAGAUCUCGGAAGCAAAGCAGGGUCGGGCCUGGUUAGUACCUGGACGGGAGACCGCCUGGGGAACACCGGGUGCCGUGGGCU